GGCCCCGUAGCUCAGCUGGAUAGAGCACCGGUUUCCUAAACCGUAGGUCGCGUGUUCGAAUCACGCCGGGGUCACCA
Molecule: transfer RNA, 77 nt
Filed under: Rhodobacteraceae bacterium THAF1
Lineage: Bacteria; Pseudomonadati; Pseudomonadota; Alphaproteobacteria; Rhodobacterales; Paracoccaceae
Also listed under: 1 other name
Description: tRNA-Arg
Rfam family: tRNA
About the family: Transfer RNA (tRNA) molecules are approximately 80 nucleotides in length. Their secondary structure includes four short double-helical elements and three loops (D, anti-codon, and T loops).
Source: RNAcentral